Molecule: long non-coding RNA, 502 nt
Filed under: Pan troglodytes (chimpanzee)
Lineage: Eukaryota; Metazoa; Chordata; Mammalia; Primates; Hominidae
Description: long non-coding RNA NONPTRT012605
Source: RNAcentral
AAAGCUGUUUUUUACUUUUUAUCAGAAGCAGAACACUAGAUUUAAAGGCUUUCCAAAGCCUAAUGAAUAAGUCCAGUGUUCUCUAUGUGAGUAUUGCAUACUUAAGGCUGUCAUGUUUUGAUUAAGCAUAAGCUUUAAUAGAUUUGCUGGAAUAAUUAUUAAAACAUUCACGAACUUCAAGGAAGCUUAACUCUGCCAGCAACAGAAAAAGCUUGGGGGUGAAUUUCUCUUUAGAAACUAAAAGAAAACACUGAUUUUUAACUGACAGAUUAUGUCCCCCUAAUUGCAGGCAUUAGAAUAAUUUACCAUUGUGAUAAUGCUUGAAAGUUGGAUUAUAUUACAGACCUGUAAGACGGCAUUAGACUUUGAGUCAAAAGUAUUCAUUCAUUUUUUUGUGUGUAUUUUUGUGUUAAAUUAACAGCUUUAAAAAUGUUUAUGGGGAUACAUAGUAAAACAGCUAUAUGUUCAUGUGUGAGGACUGGAUGAGCAUGUGAAAUACUCC